AUCAUUUCACGCGGAUAAUACAGGACGAUUAUUUUAUCGCCGCGAACCAGCGGCGAUUAUCUGUACGCAGAUUUCAGACACCGCGAUAAUAUCGAGAAAAUCGUUUGUCGACAAAAAAACAGAAAAAAAAAAAAACAAAAAAUUAAAAUUAUCUCAUUUUUAAUAUUCUCCGAAUUUCACCACUAUCGUUCGGUAAGGUACCGAAAUCGAAUUUACUCGAAAUAUCCGCGACGUAUGAUCGCCGGUUCGCUCACUCUGUAUGUAUAUAUACACAUA
This is a non-coding RNA of Cinara cedri, 276 nucleotides long. The record is from the annotation of a GenBank genome assembly. NCBI's taxonomy places the organism in Eukaryota, Metazoa, Arthropoda, Insecta, Hemiptera, Aphididae.